RNAcentral lists this small RNA (600 nucleotides) under Histoplasma ohiense. RNAcentral's name for it is "hypothetical lncRNA". Lineage: Eukaryota; Fungi; Ascomycota; Eurotiomycetes; Onygenales; Ajellomycetaceae. The record is from RNAcentral.
AUUUUGAGCCCAAUUUCGGUGAAUCAUUCAAGAUCCCUUGGACUUGUUUGGAGUCAUCUGUGGUGAAGUCCGAUCGGGAAGAAAUGGUGGUCCGGUCUUGAAUACCUCUUGUCUUCUCAGUUUUGUUGGGCACUCGAUCCUCAUUAGAUUUCUCGGGUUCUCCAUCUUCAGCUGUCAUCGUGUUGGGAUGCGUUUGGAGUCUCUGUACCGUGGGUUGGACAAAUUUCUGGCGGAGCCUUGCAGCAUACCUUCGAGUCAUUGACGCGCCUAGGCGAUCCCGUAGUUCUCGGUGAAUAUAUGGAUAUAGUAUCGUGACCGACUCCCAGCAUAACUCCUGAAAUGUCAGGAAAUCAGGAUGUAAUUUAGCCUGUAAAGGUCAUCGACGCCCUUAACUACAUAUUGAACUUCCUCGGCUUCCUCGGAGAUGAGGUCCCUCAGAGAUUUCUUUUCUCGUUCAUUCACUUCAGUCUGUGGAUGAGUACCGCCAUCGCUGGUCCCGUGGAUACGAUUCAGCACUACAGCCUGUCAGCGAAAUAUUCCUCUUCCAAUAGGUCUUCCGAACUUACGUCUUGCUAUACAGUCUGACAGGACCAUCAGGUG